Molecule: transfer RNA, 53 nt
Filed under: Taxus baccata (English yew)
Lineage: Eukaryota; Viridiplantae; Streptophyta; Pinopsida; Cupressales; Taxaceae
Description: partial tRNA-His
Rfam family: tRNA
About the family: Transfer RNA (tRNA) molecules are approximately 80 nucleotides in length. Their secondary structure includes four short double-helical elements and three loops (D, anti-codon, and T loops).
Source: RNAcentral
GCGGACGUAGCCAAGUGGUCCAAAGGCAGUGGAUUGUGAAUCCACCAUGCGCG